This 480-nucleotide ribosomal RNA is filed under the name uncultured organism. RNAcentral describes it as "bacterial SSU rRNA". It matches the Rfam family "Bacterial small subunit ribosomal RNA", at positions 28 to 507 of the family's 1533-position model. The record is from RNAcentral.
GAUGAACGCUAGCGGCAGGCCUAAUACAUGCAAGUCGAGGGGUAGAGGUUGCUUGCAACCUUGAGACCGGCGCACGGGUGCGUAACGCGUAUGCAACCUACCUUCAUCUGGGGGAUAGCCCGGAGAAAUCCGGAUUAAUACCGCAUAAAAUCACAGUACGGCAUCGUACAAUGAUCAAACAUUUAUGGGAUGGAGAUGGGCAUGCGUGUCAUUAGUUAGUUGGCGGGGUAACGGCCCACCAAGACCGCGAUGACUAGGGGAUCUGAGAGGAUGACCCCCCACACUGGUACUGAGACACGGACCAGACUCCUACGGGAGGCAGCAGUAAGGAAUAUUGGUCAAUGGGGGCAACCCUGAACCAGCCAUGCCGCGUGCAGGAAGACGGCCCUCUGGGUUGUAAACUGCUUUUAUUCGGGAAUAAACCUGCUUACGUGUAAGUAGCUGAAUGUACCGAAGGAAUAAGGAUCGGCUAACUCCGUG